RNAcentral lists this ribosomal RNA (445 nucleotides) under uncultured bacterium. RNAcentral's name for it is "bacterial SSU rRNA". It matches the Rfam family "Bacterial small subunit ribosomal RNA", at positions 354 to 796 of the family's 1533-position model. The record is from RNAcentral.
GUGAGGAAUAUUGGUCAAUGGGCGCGAGCCUGAACCAGCCAAGUCGCGUGAGGGAGGACGGCCCUACGGGUUGUAAACCUCUUUUGCCGGGGAGCAACGGGCGUCACGUGUGGCGCCACUGAGAGUACCCGGAGAAAAAGCAUCGGCUAACUCCGUGCCAGCAGCCGCGGUAAUACGGAGGAUGCGAGCGUUAUCCGGAUUUAUUGGGUUUAAAGGGUGCGUAGGCGGAUCGUUAAGUCAGUGGUCAAAUUGAGGGGCUCAACCCCUUCCCGCCAUUGAAACUGGCGUUCUUGAGUGGAAGAGAAGUAUGCGGAAUGCGUGGUGUAGCGGUGAAAUGCAUAGAUAUCACGCAGAACCCCGAUUGCGAAGGCAGCAUGCCGGCUUCCGACUGACGCUGAAGCACGAAAGCGUGGGGAUCGAACAGGAUUAGAUACCCGGGUAGUCC